Molecule: long non-coding RNA, 2705 nt
Organism: Cyprinus carpio carpio
Lineage: Eukaryota; Metazoa; Chordata; Actinopteri; Cypriniformes; Cyprinidae
Source: Ensembl
UGUGUCCAUCUGCUCAUCCAAUCAGAAUUUAGUGUUGGAACUAUCCAGAUUAUAUGUUUUUUUUUUUCCUCUCUGUGUCUUAAACUUGGAUAUACUGUCCCCAUAAUGUUCCCCUCACUCUCCCCUACAUUAUUUUGCAUUUACAUUAUAUUAUACUCUAUUGCAGAUUCACCAUCUGAUGCAAACACUCCACUAAUGAGGCUGAUUCUGUGCUGAUGAAAGUGGCAAACAAGGACGGCCGUGUGGAUUUGCCCAAUAGUGCUUCGGUCAAUGUCUUCUGCCUGUUCGUGCUGAUUCAGCCGUUGUGUUUGAUUAUUGGUGGAUACACAGGGAUGGCCACAUAUUUGAUUUCUGCAUACAUAUCCUACAACGCCCUGCCCUGGAAAAAGCCGUCAGCUGAUCAGCAGGAGGAUACGGAGAAAAAAAAGAAGAAAAAGAAGACAAAGACUAAUUAAGACACUCUUAAUUGAGACUUCAAACAACAGCUUUGCGUAGCUGUAAAUUUCAACCUUUGGUCUAAAGACAUUUGGAAAGCAGAAUCUCUGUUUACUUAAGGAGAAACAGGAAGAAGGUAUCAUGAUGAACAGUCGUGAGUGCUGGUUCCAGUUUGUGUCUUGUUGAUCGACAGCAGUGGAUCGAUGGACUGGCUGCCUCUUUAAAUGCCACUUUCACAAUGUAGUUACACGCCAGCCUGUAAAGGCUCGCUCCUAACAAAAAGUGGUUUUAAUUUGGAACAAACUGAUGACUUUGAUUUCUGUUCAAACUGCAAAAAAAUGUUUCCAUAUCUGACUUUAGCUACUCGUAUAUCAUGUAUAUAAUUCAAGGUUGAUCAUGAACAGUUUGCUCCCUGUAUAAUUCAUGCUUUGGUGCACAUCAUUUAAAAUCUGUUUGUUUUUCUUCUCUAUGAAUCUAUGAAUGUGCCAGAAUGAACUAGAAUUAUAUGCUAAAUUAAAAAGACAGAUUGGAUUUUUAGAUGCACAUAAAAGUUUAAUAUACAUAAAAUACAUAAUAUGCAUAAUAUGUUUAAUAUAUUUUAAUACAUAAUAUUUCAACUUUUAAGUUUCACCUGUGUAUGUUGUACUUUAUUAUUAAUAUAAUAAAAAAAUAAAAAAAUGGAAAAGCACAAGCAGUUUCCGCAAAAACCAGUUCUGGAAUUGCGUAAUUAUAACUUCCACUUAUAUUUGUAAUUCCAUAACUAUUUUGUGCCAACUGCUUACUACUUUAAACUUUUUUCAUAUUUUUAUUAUAUAAUAGAAAUGCAUUAUAUCAUACAUACAUAUGUAAUUUAAAACAUUUAAUAAGGUUUUUUUAUUAUUUCCUAUUUUAUUAUACUUUAAAAUAAAAUAAAAUAAAAUAAAAUAAUAAGAAAUGCACUGAAAAUUUCUCUUCAUUUUCCCAAAUGGAAUAAAUAAAUCUGGUAAUGCUCCAGCAUAUGACAUGUUGCCAUCCAUCUCUAUUGUUUGCAUCACAUGACCUGAAAUUAAAGGUAACCAUAGGUAAACUGCACAUAUGUGUGAUGCGGGUUGGUGUAAGUGUUGUGAAGGUAUAGUUUUUUUUUUAUCUUAUAUUGUUUUUAUCCAAAUCUCUCCUCCACUCUGCUCUCCUCUAUCGCCGUUUGUCUCUCUCUAACACUUUUUCACACUUUUACACAUUUUUUUUUUUUGUACUCUCAGCCUGCAGCUUUGUUUUCAGUAGAGAAGUCUCUUGCAAACUGUGUAAAAGCGGGUCAUCACAGUCUAGUGCAGAGCAGAGACAACGGUCCCCCUGCGGUGAGCUCAAUGAGCCCUGGCCUCUCCGCACCCAGCGAUCACAGUGCAGCCACCUCUGACAAUCUCUCAUUAUCACCCCUCGGCAGACUCCGCAGGAAGCAGCGGUGCCCCUGAGAGCACGGGGAGUGAAGACCACCUCAGCACCGCAGCUCGAAGGGUUCAGAACCGUGGCCAAUGGGUGGGCCGCCAAAAAAUGGCAGAUGUGUCUCAGCAAGAUACACAGAGAUGAAUGAAAGGCUUGUGCUAAUGUCUGACUGCAUGUGUCAUGUCUCCUCCGGAGCAUAUUAAGCAUUUUCUGGCAAGCCUAAUAGUCGUAGACUAAAGUCACACCAUUUAAGCAUAUAAUGGCUUAAUAGACUAGUUUUCCACCUUAUUUAGUUACCCAUAUGUCAUUCCAAACUCAUUUCUUUAAUUUAUAAAUCUCAAAAUGAUUGACUCUUUUCCACAUAAUGAAUGUGAAUGGAGACUGUGCCUGCCAAGCUCUAACAUGGAAUACUUUUAGGACAUUUUACAGGUGAUUUUAUUGUCGUGACUCAUGUCCCAAACCUUCAGAAGCUGAACAAUAUCUUUGUGUGGCGAAUUGAAAGAUUUAAAGUGUCAUUCACUGAAAAUUUUGCCCUCUGCAUUGUUUCAAAAAUGGCAUCAUGUGGCAAUAUUUUUAAUAGUUUUAGUCAAUGACCACUUAAAUUUCGGUCUGUUUCAGUGUUAAUCUCAUCAACAAGUUCCUCUGGGUUACACCGUGGAAAGCAAGUCAUAUGGGUUUGGACAGAAGAUAUUACAUUGAGAAAGGGAGGGUGUGAUGGAAGAUGUUCGUGAACGGUCUAAAAGAAUCCAUAUCGCCUCAGUCACACGUUGAUGCCACUCGUCCAUCAUCAUCCUACAGUCCUCCCGAGGAAAGGAAGACAAGCACAGCCUCAGCAGUUAAUGAUGGCGAUU